Molecule: non-coding RNA, 80 nt
Organism: Podarcis lilfordi (Lilford's wall lizard)
Lineage: Eukaryota; Metazoa; Chordata; Lepidosauria; Squamata; Lacertidae
Source: the annotation of a GenBank genome assembly
GCAUAUAGGCUGGAUAGCUCAGUUGGUAGAACAUGAGACUCUUGAUCCCAGGGUUGUGGGAUCAUGCCCCACAUUGUGUG